AGAGUUUGAUCAUGGCUCAGAGUGAACGCUGGCGGCGUGCUUAACACAUGCAAGUCGAACGAGAACGGACUAUAGCUUGCUAUAGUUGUCAGCUAAGUGGCGCACGGGUGAGUAAUGUAUAGGUAAUAUGCCUCUUACUAAGGGAUAACAGUUGGAAACGACUGCUAAUACCUUAUAUUCCUUUUAUGCAUAAGUAUAAAAGGGAAAGAUUUAUUGGUAAGAGAUUAGCUUGUAUUGUAUCAGUUAGUUGGUGAGGUAAUGGCUCACCAAGACAAUGACGCAUAACUGGUUUGAGAGGAUGAUCAGUCACACUGGAACUGAGACACGGUCCAGACUCCUACGGGAGGCAGCAGUGGGGAAUAUUGCACAAUGGACGGAAGUCUGAUGCAGCAACGCCGCGUGGAGGAUGACACAUUUCGGUGCGUAAACUCCUUUUAUAUGAGAAGAUAAUGACGGUAUUAUAUGAAUAAGCACCGGCUAACUCCGUGCCAGCAGCCGCGGUAAUACGGGGGGUGCAAGCGUUACUCGGAAUCACUGGGCGUAAAGAGCAUGUAGGCGGAUUGAUAAGUUUGAAGUGAAAUCCUAUAGCUUAACUAUAGAACUGCUUUGAAAACUGUUAAUCUAGAAUGUGGGAGAGGUAGAUGGAAUUUCUGGUGUAGGGGUAAAAUCCGUAGAUAUCAGAAGGAAUACCGAUUGCGAAGGCGAUCUACUGGAACACUAUUGACGCUGAGAUGCGAAAGCGUGGGGGGCAAACAGGAUUAGAUACCCUGGUAGUCCACGCCCUAAACGAUGUACACUAGUUGUUGUGAGGCUAGACCUUGCA
RNAcentral lists this ribosomal RNA (823 nucleotides) under uncultured bacterium. Its description in RNAcentral is "bacterial SSU rRNA". It matches the Rfam family "Bacterial small subunit ribosomal RNA", at positions 8 to 842 of the family's 1533-position model. The record is from RNAcentral.